RNAcentral lists this transfer RNA (93 nucleotides) under Grosmannia clavigera kw1407. It matches the Rfam family "tRNA". From Rfam's summary of the family: Transfer RNA (tRNA) molecules are approximately 80 nucleotides in length. Their secondary structure includes four short double-helical elements and three loops (D, anti-codon, and T loops). Lineage: Eukaryota; Fungi; Ascomycota; Sordariomycetes; Ophiostomatales; Ophiostomataceae. The record is from Rfam by way of RNAcentral.
GCCCGUAUAGCUCAGUGGUAGAGCGUAUCACUUGUAAGCCAAGUGCAAAUGUGCGAGAUGCUAAGGUCCAUGGUUCAAUCCCAUGUGCGGGCA